GACGAACGCUGGCGGCGUGCUUAACACAUGCAAGUCGAACGGAAAGGCCUGCUUUCCCUUGUGGAUUGCGGGUACUCGAGUGGCGAACGGGUGAGUAACACGUGAGGGAUCUGCCCCCAACUCGGGUAUAAGCCUGGGAAACUGGGUCUAAUUCCCGAUAGGACUGCAGGGUGGUGCCUGUGGUGGAAAACGAUUUUCUAGUGGUUGGGGAUGAGCUCGCGGCCUAUCAGCUUGUUGGUGGGGUAAUGACCUACCAAGGCGGCGACGGGUAGCCGGCCUGAGAGGGUGGACGGCCACAUUGGGACUGAGAUACGGCCCAGACUCCUACGGGAGGCAGCAGUGGGGAAUAUUGCACAAUGGGCGGAAGCCUGAUGCAGCGACGCCGCGUGGGGGAUGACGGCCUUCGGGUUGUAAACUCCUUUCGACCGCGAGGAAGCCACCUGGUUGGAAGGGUGGUGACGGUAGUGGUAGAAGAAGCACCGGCUAACUACGUG
This 494-nucleotide ribosomal RNA is filed under the name uncultured bacterium. Its description in RNAcentral is "partial 16S ribosomal RNA". It matches the Rfam family "Bacterial small subunit ribosomal RNA", at positions 28 to 507 of the family's 1533-position model. The record is from RNAcentral.